CUUCUUACCUGGUGAGGGGAUGGAUACUGUGAUCACAAAGGUGGUUUUCCGGGCUGAGGCUUAUCCAUUGCACUCCAGAUGUGCUGACCUCUGUGAUUCCCCAAGAUGGGAAACUCGACUGCAUAAUUUGUGAUAGUGGGGGACUGCGUUCAUGCUCUGCCCCA
Small nuclear RNA from Otolemur garnettii (small-eared galago), 164 nucleotides. Its record names the gene U1. It matches the Rfam family "U1 spliceosomal RNA". From Rfam's summary of the family: U1 is a small nuclear RNA (snRNA) component of the spliceosome (involved in pre-mRNA splicing). NCBI's taxonomy places the organism in Eukaryota, Metazoa, Chordata, Mammalia, Primates, Galagidae. The record is from Ensembl.